This 422-nucleotide unclassified non-coding RNA is filed under the name Hevea brasiliensis (rubber tree). Lineage: Eukaryota; Viridiplantae; Streptophyta; Magnoliopsida; Malpighiales; Euphorbiaceae. The record is from RNAcentral.
CUUCAACCGAUAGAUACCCGAAAUAGGUGCCUAGAACUGCGAGCCUUUUAGUGCAGGUUUGGAUUGAUUAUUUUCGGAUUGUGUGAGAAUUUGUGAGUUUGAUAUUGAUCUGUCUUUGCUGGAUCCGAAUGACUGCCGGUGGUGGUAAUCAGUUGAUUUCUGUUCAUCCGGAUGAGCUUAAGUUUAUCUUUGAGCUGGAGAAACAAAGCUAUUGUGAUCUUAAAGUUGUGAACAAUACAGAACAGCAUGUUGCGUUUAAGGUUAAAACCACUUCGCCCAAGAAGUACUUUGUAAGGCCUAACACUGGUGUCAUACAACCUUGGGACUCAUGUGUCAUCAGAGUUACUCUACAAGCCCAACGUGAAUAUCCUGCAGAUAUGCAAUGCAAAGAUAAGUUUCUCUUGCAGAGUACGACAGUGCCU